GUUUUUCUUUCCUUUGUUUAUGUUGAUUUUUCCUAUGUUUUCCUCUAAUUUUUCCUUUGUGACUCUCAAUCGGGUGGGAGGUGUGGAGCAGCUGAAUAGGGAAGCUUAGACGAUGGCUAGGGUUUUGUGUUUGGUGUUUAUAUAUAAGAAUUUAAAGGGUAUAAAUAAAUUAUCAAUCAAUUUAAAAAAAAAUUGUUAACUGUACCUUAUUUGUUAAGGUUUUCGGUAGGCUAUCUAAAGAUUUGGAGUUCAAAUCCUCUCGUUCUUCUAUUAUGUAUAUAUUUUAUAGGGUUCAGGUAGCAGAUACUUGAGAGGCAAAUCCCAAACCCAAAUAUGUUUAAAUUUUAAAUUCCAAAUCCUUCCCAAAUCGUACAGGGUAUUGCAAACAGAUCCUAUUAGGAUUAGAGAUGGGUCAGAUAUCCGAAAAAUCCAUCCAACUGGCAUCGCAACAGUUAAAAGUCACACGGUCUCACAAAGAUGUUGAGGAGAAUCCAAAGGCUGUGAUGAUGAACCUACCAGCUAUGUAUGGGAGGGAGGGAAAGGGAGAGAGAGCUUGACUUGGCUCCACUUGUGUGGAUCUUCAUCAUAUUGGCCAUUGUUUUUCCCAUGCAGCAAUGCCCGUUUACAAUGGUGGCAGGCUGCUUGGAUGGUCUGCUGCUUUGCAGGCAACCAGUGGCAAGCCAUGCAUUGAGAAAAGUGAUGUGACUGCAAUAUCUGAUGGGCCAAAAGUGAAUCUGAGCCUCUGCUUCUUCCCAUCUUUCUUCUUUUAGAACUAAGCCCUUGUUCACUUGUCCGCUGCUAUUUCAGAAUUUUCUUUUUUUUUUUCAAAAUUUUUCCAUGUUCAAAAUGUUUAUCUGAAAUGAUUUGUAGUUUAUGGGUUUCUAUUUCUUUUCUUCAUGUCAAAGUUGGAUCCUGACUCGACCUGACCCAUUUGCAGCCUUUAUGUCAUUUGUUGAGGUAUGAAAGCUCCAGGGAGAAAUAAAUAAGGGUUGGUGACUUGGUGCUCUCCCAAGUUGCCCCCCUCUUUGUUAUAAGAUGAACAAAAAUUCUACAGAGUGCCUUCCAUAGUGAUGGUCAUCUCCUAGGUCAUGAACUGAGGAUUGUCGGAACUCAGCUCUUAAACCCCAUACCUCUCUCUAUGUAUGUCUUGCUCUAUCUUUCUCUGGAGGCAGUGAUGAUGAAGCUCUUGUAGAUUCCUCCAGUAUUUUUCUUUUGUGACUAUUGCGAGGUAGCUUGUAUGGCCUGCCACUCCACUGACAACCUCUACUGCCAUUUGUGGACAAAGAAUGCGGAAGUGGGAUGAUGGUACAAAGGUGAAUCGGAGCCUCUCCCCACUUGUGUCUGUCCUUUUUAUGUUCCGAGAUAGGGCUUUGUCACAAUGAUAUUUGUCGUCUUUAUUCUUCUCAGAACUGUCACUACCAUCUAAAUGGCAUCAAAUCCUCUUUUUUGAGCGUACAAGUCUUUUACUUGAUUCGUGCUUCUAACCCAACUUGAUUUGUGCUUGUCUCAAGUUGAAUCUAGAGACAUGCUCAAGCUGCUUGAUUCAUUGGACAGCUCUGUUUUCGGCCCAAUCUUCUGCUCAGCUAUGAGGCUUGACGGAGGGAACCAGGAACAGUUGGUCAGUUGGUGCUCUGGUGCAACCAAGAGCUGCCCUCUUCCACAAUAUGACAUGGCUGUUAUUUAAGACCUCUCUGUUUUGAAUGCAUUCCUCUCUUUAUCUUGCUGUAUCUUCUCUAUUGAGGCAAUGAUGAAGCCUCUUUUCGACUCCUCUCUCUGUUUUCCUUUUGUGACAGUGCAUGGCAGUUGGGAUGGUCUAUUUCUUCAUAGACAACUGCUGCAGAGGAGUUGCAGCAGAAGGAUGUGGGGAUCUGUGCGAGUGUUUUAGUCCCACAUCGGUUGUUUGUUUGGGAGGCUAUAGCAGGGCAAGGACAUAUUUCAUAACCUUCUAGCUAGACCAUUUUGGGUGAGGUUUUUGGUCAUUACAAAAGAUGAAUGAUGGAUCAAAGGCGAAUCUGAGCCUC
Elaeis guineensis (African oil palm) is the source of this 2021-nucleotide long non-coding RNA. RefSeq lists it as uncharacterized. The record is from RefSeq and is a predicted model, not a curated record. NCBI's taxonomy places the organism in Eukaryota, Viridiplantae, Streptophyta, Magnoliopsida, Arecales, Arecaceae.